Molecule: non-coding RNA, 148 nt
Filed under: Chlorocebus sabaeus (green monkey)
Lineage: Eukaryota; Metazoa; Chordata; Mammalia; Primates; Cercopithecidae
Source: Rfam by way of RNAcentral
GCUGGGUGUGGUGGUGCAUGCCUGUAGUCCCAGCUACUCAGAAGGCUGAGGUAGGGGGAUUGCUUGAGCCCAGGAGGUUGAGGCUGCUGUGAGCUAUGAUCAUACCACUGCAUUCCAGCCUGGGCAACACAGCAAGACUCUGUCUCAA